This 555-nucleotide ribosomal RNA is filed under the name uncultured bacterium. RNAcentral's name for it is "bacterial SSU rRNA". It matches the Rfam family "Bacterial small subunit ribosomal RNA", at positions 777 to 1345 of the family's 1533-position model. The record is from RNAcentral.
AAUAGAUACCCCGGUAGUCCACGCCGUAAACGAUGGAUGCUAGCUGUUACGCGUAUCGACCCGUGUAGUAGCGAAGCUAACGCGUUAAGCAUCCCGCCUGGGGAGUACGAACGCAAGUUUAAAACUCAAAGGAAUUGACGGGGACCCGCACAAGCGGUGGAGCGUGUUCUUUAAUUCGAGGCUAAGCGAAGAACCUUACCAGGGCUUGACAUCCUUGGAAUUUCUCCGAAAGGAGAGAGUACUUUAUUGGACCAAGUGACAGGUGCUGCAUGGCCGUCGUCAGCUCGUGUCGUGAGAUGUUUGGUUAAGUUCAUUAACGAGCGCAACCCUUAUGAAUAGUUGUAUUUUUCUAUUCAGACUGCCCCGGUAACGGGGAGGAAGGGGGGGAUGAUGUCAGGUCAGUAUUGCCCUUACGCCCUGGGCUAGAAACGCGCUACAAUGGCCGGUACAAUGCGCUGCCAACCCGCGAGGGGGAGCAAAUCGCAUCAAAGCCGGUCCCAGUUCGGAUAAGAGGCUGAAACUCGCCUCUUUGAGGCCGGAAUCGCUAGUAAUCGU